AUGAACGCUAGCGACAGGCCUAACACAUGCAAGUCGAGGGGCAGCACAAGGAGCAAUCUGAGGUGGCGACCGGCGCACGGGUGAGUAACACGUAUGCAACCUGCCUGUAAGCGGGGAAUAACCCGUUGAAAGACGGACUAAUACCGCAUAAUACUAAAUUACUGCAUGGUAAUUUAUUUAAACAUUUAUGGCUUACAGAUGGGCAUGCGCAUGAUUAGCUAGUUGGAGAGGUAACGGCUCCCCAAGGCAACGAUCAUUAGGGGUUCUGAGAGGAAGGUCCCCCACAUUGGUACUGAGACACGGACCAGACUCCUACGGGAGGCAGCAGUGAGGAAUAUUGGUCAAUGGACGAGAGUCUGAACCAGCCAAGUCGCGUGCAGGAAGAAUGUCCUAUGGAUUGUAAACUGCUUUUGCAGGGGAAUAAAGUGCAUCACGUGUGAUGUUUUGUAUGUACUCUGCGAAUAAGGAUCGGCUAACUCCGUGCCAGCAGCAGC
This 494-nucleotide ribosomal RNA is filed under the name uncultured bacterium. RNAcentral's name for it is "bacterial SSU rRNA". It matches the Rfam family "Bacterial small subunit ribosomal RNA", at positions 29 to 518 of the family's 1533-position model. The record is from RNAcentral.